Long non-coding RNA from Triticum aestivum (bread wheat), 941 nucleotides. RefSeq lists it as uncharacterized. The transcript has 3 exons. Lineage: Eukaryota; Viridiplantae; Streptophyta; Magnoliopsida; Poales; Poaceae. The record is from RefSeq and is a predicted model, not a curated record.
UCCACCGGAAAAAACACUCAAACCACCGAGGAGCCCACCCAACCUAUCUCUCCUGAAAGGAACCAAUCGAUUCCUCUAGCCCUACCUCUCUCCCGAUCUGGGCAUCGACGAUCGACAUAGCACUCAUCAUCGCCCGCCCCCUCUCUUCCCAUCUGGCGGGCAGCAGAGGAGACCGGCCUCCUCCAGAUCGGCCUCGAGGUCAACGACGCGGACAACCGACGGACUCGACGCUGCCACCCGGAGCUACAUCGCCCACGAUGUCGAGUAGGGCAUGUGCAAGAGCUCUUGGCCUUCCGGGGCUGCCGCCGCAGGACUUGUAUCGUCAGGCCGUCGUGGUGUCGAUCCAGCCGCCGGCCACAUAUGGGUCUUCAGGUCGGGUGCGGCAACUUGGGACAUGAUAGUAGCUUUUGUGGUAGGGCAUACCCAGGAGGCGUGACCUGCUGGUAGCUGUCCAGGGUCUUCUAUAUCAGAAACAGAACAAUGUGGAGCAAAGGAUUGUAGAUAUGGUUUACAAGCAAGCACCGGAAGAGCUUCUUCAGAUGUUAAAUAUUUGGUAGUAAAUGUCUGGUGUUUUGGGUCAUGGUGCCCUCCGUCAAGAAGGUCUGGCAGGUAGUGCUUGGUCGUCAAACGGCCAAGGGCCUCGCAGAGGUUGCCGGGGAGGACACGCUCCAGUGUGUCGAGUGAGAGAUCGACACCAUCGCUCAAUGAAGCGCACGCCUGUGGUCAAGCUACCGUAAACGUUGUUAUUCAGGAUCUACGUUUAAUCUGGUCAGCCAACGUGGUCACUUUCUUCAUAUUCUGCAGUGUGUCCUGCUUCCACCGGGAUUUUUUGACAAUUUUUUUAUGUGGAUGCACAUGUAUGUGUACUGCUGUGCAAAUGUGCUGAUUUUUCUUGUUAAUUGGAGAAGUAUGUAAAUAGUCGCUAUUUGGUUGUUCUUUUU